GAUGAAGAACGUAGCGAAAUGCGAUAAGUAGUGUGAAUUGCAGAAUUCAGUGAAUCAUCGAAUCUUUGAACGCACAUUGCGCCCGCCAGCACUCUGGCGGGCAUGCCUGUUCGAGCGUCAUUUCAACCAUCAAGCCCCAGGCUUGCGUUGGAGCCCUGCGGCUGCCGCAGCCUCCUAAAAGCAGUGGCGGGCUCGCUAUCACACCGAGUGCAGUAGAUUACUCUUCGCUCAGGGCGUGCAGCGGGUUCCGGCCGUGAAACCCCCUACUUUUAAAGGUUGACCUCGGAUCAGGUAGGAAUACCCGCUGAACUUAAGCAUAUCAAUAAGCGGAGGA
This 334-nucleotide unclassified non-coding RNA is filed under the name soil metagenome. Its description in RNAcentral is "partial contains 5.8S ribosomal RNA, internal transcribed spacer 2, and large subunit ribosomal RNA". The stretch from base 1 to 120 matches the Rfam family "5.8S ribosomal RNA", at positions 35 to 154 of the family's 154-position model. The record is from RNAcentral.